This is a small nucleolar RNA of Dioscorea cayenensis subsp. rotundata (Guinea yam), 66 nucleotides long. RefSeq annotates it as small nucleolar RNA snoR101. The record is from RefSeq and is a predicted model, not a curated record. Lineage: Eukaryota; Viridiplantae; Streptophyta; Magnoliopsida; Dioscoreales; Dioscoreaceae. The transcript has a single exon.
UUUUUACACUUGAUCUCUGAACUUUCAAGGUAAGUUCAUAUGUAGACCAAGGUUUUUUCUGAUGCC